GACAGAAGGUGCAAGCGUUACUCGGAAUUACUGGGCGUAAAGCGUCUGUAGGUUUUUAAUCACGUCUGGCAGCAAAUUGCGGGGCUCAACCCCGCAUCCCUGCCGGAUACGAGUUGAAUAGAGUCAUUCAGAGGCAUCUGGAAUGUCAUGUGUAGGGGUAAAAUCCGUAGAUACAUGAUGGAACGCCAAAAGCGAAGGCAGGAUGCUAGGAAUGUACUGACACUCAGAGACGAAAGCGUGGGGAGCAAAGGGG
Molecule: ribosomal RNA, 253 nt
Filed under: uncultured bacterium
Lineage: Bacteria
Description: partial 16S ribosomal RNA
Rfam family: Bacterial small subunit ribosomal RNA
Source: RNAcentral